GAUGAACGCUGGCGGCGUGCCUAAUACAUGCAAGUCGAGCGAAUGGAUUGAGAGCUUGCUCUCAAGAAGUUAGCGGCGGACGGGUGAGUAACACGUGGGUAACCUGCCCAUAAGACUGGGAUAACCCCGGGAAACCGGGGCUAAUACCGGAUAAUAUUUUGAACUGCAUGGUUCGAAAUUGAAAGGCGGCUUCGGCUGUCACUUAUGGAUGGACCCGCGUCGCAUUAGCUAGUUGGUGAGGUAACGGCUCACCAAGGCAACGAUGCGUAGCCGACCUGAGAGGGUGAUCGGCCACACUGGGACUGAGAUACGGCCCAGACUCCUACGGGAGGCAGCAGUAGGGAAUCUUCCGCAAUGGACGAAAGUCUGACGGAGCAACGCCGCGUGAGUGAUGAAGGCUUUCGGGCGUAAAACUCUGUUGUUAGGAAGAACAAGUGCUAGUUGAAUAAGCUGGCACCUUGACGGUACCUAACCAGAAAGCCACGGCUAACUACGUGCCAGCAGCCG
This 507-nucleotide ribosomal RNA is filed under the name uncultured bacterium. RNAcentral describes it as "bacterial SSU rRNA". It matches the Rfam family "Bacterial small subunit ribosomal RNA", at positions 28 to 517 of the family's 1533-position model. The record is from RNAcentral.